GAUGAACGCUAGCGGCAGGCUUAACACAUGCAAGUCGAGGGGCAGCACUUGUAGCAAUACAUGGUGGCGACCGGCGCAAGGGUGCGUAACGCGUGAGCAACAUGCCCGUAUCAGGGGGAUAAUCCAGGGAAACUUGGUCUAAUACCCCAUAGCAAUUAUUUGAGGCAUCUUAAAUAAAUUUAAAGCUUUGGUGGAUACGGAUUGGCUCGCGUGACAUUAGCUAGAUGGUAAGGUAACGGCUUACCAUGGCUACGAUGUCUAGGGGUUCUGAGAGGAAGAUCCCCCACACUGGAACUGAGACACGGUCCAGACUCCUACGGGAGGCAGCAGUGAGGAAUAUUGGACAAUGGAUGGAAAUCUGAUCCAGCCAUGCCGCGUGCAGGAAGACGGCCCUAUGGGUUGUAAACUGCUUUUGUGUGGGAGCAAUAAGGUCUAUGCGUAGACUGAUGAGAGUACCAUACGAAUAAGC
RNAcentral lists this ribosomal RNA (469 nucleotides) under uncultured bacterium. RNAcentral describes it as "bacterial SSU rRNA". It matches the Rfam family "Bacterial small subunit ribosomal RNA", at positions 28 to 491 of the family's 1533-position model. The record is from RNAcentral.